RNAcentral lists this ribosomal RNA (728 nucleotides) under uncultured bacterium. RNAcentral's name for it is "bacterial SSU rRNA". It matches the Rfam family "Bacterial small subunit ribosomal RNA", at positions 33 to 773 of the family's 1533-position model. The record is from RNAcentral.
ACGCUGGCGGCGUGCUUAACACAUGCAAGUCGAACGAUGAACCAGGAGCUUGCUCUUGGGGAUUAGUGGCGAACGGGUGAGUAACACGUGAGUAACCUGCCCUUGACUCUGGGAUAAGCGUUGGAAACGACGUCUAAUACCGGAUACGAGCUUCAGCCGCAUGGCUAGGAGCUGGAAAGAAUUUCGGUCAAGGAUGGACUCGCGGCCUAUCAGCUAGUUGGUGAGGUAAUGGCUCACCAAGGCGACGACGGGUAGCCGGCCUGAGAGGGUGACCGGCCACACUGGAACUGAGACACGGUCCAGACUCCUACGGGAGGCAGCAGUGGGGAAUAUUGCACAAUGGGCGAAAGCCUGAUGCAGCAACGCCGCGUGAGGGACGACGGCCUUCGGGUUGUAAACCCCUUUUAGCAGGGAAGAAGCGAAAGUGACGGUACCUGCAGAAAAAGCACCGGCUAACUACGUGCCAGCAGCCGCGGUAAUACGUAGGGUGCAAGCGUUGUCCGGAAUUAUUGGGCGUAAGAGCUCGUAGGCGGUUUGUCGCGUCUGCUGUGAAAUCCCGAGGCUCAACCUCGGGUCUGCAGUGGGUACGGGCAGACUAGAGUGCGGUAGGGGAGAUUGGAAUUCCUGGUGUAGCGGUGGAAUGCGCAGAUAUCAGGAGGAACACCGAUGGCGAAGGCAGAUCUCUGGGCCGUAACUGACGCUGAGGAGCGAAAGGGUGGGGAGCAAAC